Long non-coding RNA from Marmota monax (woodchuck), 4426 nucleotides. RefSeq lists it as uncharacterized. The record is from RefSeq and is a predicted model, not a curated record. The transcript is spliced from 3 exons. Lineage: Eukaryota; Metazoa; Chordata; Mammalia; Rodentia; Sciuridae.
GCUCAGAUUUGAAACCUCCGGGGUGGAAGCCUGGUUUACUGUGGUUCUCUUCAGUGUUUAUUGAGAGUGACUGAAGCGAUCAAUCAACCAAUUACUCCUCUUUGGAAGGGAAAAGAGUGCGUGUCCUCAACGCUGGCUGUAUCGUUAGACUCGCCCCGAGCUAGAAAGGCCACGCCCCGGCCACGCCCCCCUAAGACCCUGCGAGGGACCCAGACGUGAGUGCUAAAGCACACUAACAACGCCCCGAUGCUGGUGCAAGGGUGGAGCACUGCAGUAAAAGGAGAAAGAUGGAAGAUGACCGAGGAACAGGAAGUGGGAAAGCCUACGGAUCAGAGAGGUACCUGUCUGAAACCAGCAAUUCCUGGACCAGUUUUAGGCAACAAGAGACUUGAUGCUUCAAAGAGAUCCCAGAAAAGGUCGAAAUGCCAGCCCUUCUGCUCUUUCUGAGCACGCCCUGGGGACACACGAGGCCAGCUGAGCCUGCUUGUCAGACACCAUGGUAGCCUCUUCCCUUCUGCAGAGGCCUAAUUGCUUCUCACCAAUUCCCAAACAUCUCAGACAAGCUGGGAAUGUUAUGGACAGCGACAGCCUCCCGGUUCAAGCACAUCAAAAAUAAGUCCUGGUCAUUCAUGUAAGGACUGCUUGGGGCUUUUAAACCUUCAAACAUCUCAUCUCUGCAAACAUGAAAAACAACUACCUUAUGCUGUGGCCUCCCAGAAAGGUCACGGCUUCCUCCUUUAAGCACUGCCUUGUGACUAGAUGCUAAUGCUGGGUAACAAGCAAGCCCUUAUCUAAUGGUUCCAACUCUGGAAUGGAAAGAGCAGAGUUUGCUCAGAGGAGCAUGACUUCUGGGUAGCCCAGAGAAGCACAGAUCUCUUCCAGGAAUCCAACUCCUUCCUUUUCUUCUGCUUAACCUUUUAUCUUAGAUCCUCAGAGAAUGCUAAUAGCAGACAGCAGAGACUCAACUCAGGGUUGACUGAGAUGACCCCGUAUGGGCACAGUAAGGCCCAAGGGCCAAGGCAGCCCUUCCCUCUCCCAGCCUCCAACUCCCUGUGAGUCCCAGAUGGAGUAUAAUCUCCCUGGAGCCCUUUGGGCUCCAUGCCACAAGAAGGAAUUCCUCCAAUCUUGUCCCUGCAUCUUCCUAGAUUUUCCAUGGAAUUAGUGGUGCCUCCACAGGCCAUGACCUUUCCCAGGACAUUGUGUUAUAUGCCCAGGACUCCUGUCCAGGGCAGGCUUUUUCUAUUAAUAUUCAAGACCAAAUGAAUGGAUCCCAGCUUCAUUCUCAGAUACUUAGUCUUGCCCAGGGUGGGUUUUUAUAUCCAUUUCAGUACAUUUCUUUCUUUCUCUAUAUUAGUUUGUUUUCUGUUGCUGUAACAAAAACCUGAGGCUGGAUACUUUAUAAAGAAAAGAGAUGGAUUUGGUUGAUGAUUCUGGUGGCCAGAGGAUUCAUACAUGGCAUUGGCAUCCUGAUAAGGAUCUCCUGGCGGCAUUAUAUUAUAAUAUAGGAAAGUUGAAGGAGAAAUAGUUGAGUUUUGAAGGGGCCAAGUAUGUGGAGUGGCCUUCCUAUAUAACAACCCACUAUCAUGAAACUAAUUUAUUCCACGAGACCAGCAUUAAUAGGGCCCUACGUCCACAACCUAAUCACCUUCCCUAGGCCCUGUCUCUUAAGGAUCCCACCUUCUCAACACCACCACACUAGAGACCACUUUUCAAAAAGGUGAACCUUUAGGGGAAACACUCAAACUACAUCCAAGCCAGUGUAUUCCCCUUGUAACGUCGGACUUUCCAUUUGGCCUCUCGGGUAACAGCAAACUUCUGUCUCACAGCUUUUGUGGAUUUGUUUGUUUUGGGGCUUGAUUUUUGCUUCCCAGCAUCUACAGAAUUAAGACUCUUUCUCCUUCACUUCAUCUCUGCCUCAGCCAAGAGGUUGGGCCUCUGCUUUGACCUAUUGUUCUCUCAAAGCAGCAGCCAUUACCAUGCUUGCUUGGGAGAAAAACAGAGUGGUGUUCUAAUGUUUCUAGGCCAGUUAACCCUGGAUUUAUUCAAAGUUCAAGUUCGGCAAGCUCUCAUCUACCCAAGCAAUGGGAAACACAGUCCUCCUGCUGGGGCCCACUUUGCACGCCACACAUGCCAUCUGUUGCCCUCGGGACUGGAGGUGACCACAAAUCUGGACAUUCAUGAUAGCUCUGUUACAUGGCCAUCACUGCAGAAAUGCACACUGUUUUUCUUGCUGGCUAGAUUAUGGGGUUGAAUGGCAUCCCCCAAAGUCACAUACUUCCCAGAAGCUCAGAGUGUGCUGUUAUCUAAGAAAUAAUGUUGCAGAUGUCAUUACUUAGAAUGAAGUCAUCUUAGAAUAGGCAGGGCCCUUAAUCCAGUAAGACUGGCAUCUGUACAAGAAAAGAUAGAGGCACAUGAGGAGAAGGCCACAUGACGUGUGAGGCAGAGAUUGGGGUGAUGCGCCUACAAGCCAAGGAACACUGAGGACUGGGCACCCAUCAGAGGCUGGGAACAGGAAGGAACAGCUCUUCCUUAGCCUCUCCAGAAGGAACCAGCCCUGCCAACACCUUGCUUUCAGACUUCUACCCUCCAGAACUACAAGACCAUAAAUUCCUAACAAGUUAAGCCUUUAAAUGGUGGUGAAUAAUUACGGCAACCCUAAGAACCUAAUACAAUGGAUUGAAGAGUGUGGAUUUGGAGAUUUUUUUUCCCCAUAUAUUUCCAUUUUUAGAAACCUUAGCUCUGCUGAAUUGGACUAAAUUUAACUAUCUUUAACCUGUGAUUAGCAUAAUUUCCUAACCUACCUCUAUUUGUUUGUUUAACUAGCCAUCCUCUCAGAACCCCUGCAGUAGAACAAUAAAUGUAUUCCUGGCUGAGAGUGGUGCAGAUUACCCAGAGAUCUUGUUAAAAUGCUGGUCUGGAUCCAGUAGGUCUUGGGUGGGGUUUGAAGUUUUGCAUUGCUAACAAGCUCAGAGUGACCCAGGGCCUCACUUUGAGUCACAAGGACAAAAACUACUCAAAGUCUUGAGAGAUCUCAAAUCAUUCCCAUUUGACCUUGGAAAGGUCUUUACCUUUAAAGCAGGACACAGGCACAACUUGCAGCCUGCAUCAGACAACAUAAUCAAGUCACACUGAUGUUCUACUUGAGGAAGAGGUAAGUAGGUGCCUGUUUCCACAGUCCUGUGCUCACUCAACCAAGUGUUGACACUUGCUUUGUGUUAGACGCUGUGUGAGACCAUUUCUUGCUGGAAAAUGAUUUUUCUCUCUUCUCACCCUGAUAAAGGAUGGCUCAGACUUGCAGACUCACAAACAGCACCACUGGACCGUGCAGCUGGCUUUCCCCCAGUUGGUUUGCUCCAGGCUUCCCUCUGCAAGGGAUUGCCUUCAUACACAGCCAGAGUGGGAGGGGCGAGAGCCGGCUGCAGAGCUGCUGGAUUCUGGCCAUGAUGAAGAAAGCAAUGUUCCUGAAUUGAUUCAUAAAGGGCUCACUUUAAGAAAACUUAAUAAGGCAAGAAAAAAUCUAUAUAGAAGGCCCCCCCAUAAGUCAAUAACCCUUUUAGAAGCAAGCUGGAAAGCUGUUUAUAACAGUUUUAGUUCAUAUCCUUUCUGAAAAAAAUUAAUAUAUAGGAAAUGGCUACAAGGGCAAGGAAUUCCAUUUGAGGGAGCAGGUUAGGUAAAACAAAGCCCAACUUUGGGGUGUGUGUGUGUGUGUGUGUGUAGGAUAAAGCCAAGGCUGGAUUUGUGCAUUGUAGGACAGAUUGUCACUUAUAAUGUAAGGAGAAAGAUGAGAGAGGUCUCCCACUAUGGAAACAUCUAGUAAUUCCUGAAAUUCCAUCAAUACCUUUCAUUUCUUCUUGUAUAUUGAUUCACUCCUUCAUUCAACAGGCACCAACCAUAUGUCAGACACUAUAGGAAAACUAGAGGGGAUCAUUGAGCUACGUGGCUCUUUCCCAGACACUGCCAUCUUGCAGGGCAGACAAACACACCAACUAGUAUUGUUAGUAUUCUGUGAUAAACUGCUGUAGGACCCCAGAAGAUACAAGUUUUCACACUUCCUCAUGGAUUCUGAGAAGGUUUCACAGCAGAACCAUGGCUUGGGGCUCAUGGGGCUCAGCACCAUCAGUUCACAGCUUGCCCUCAGCAAGAGCGGCUGUUUUGAGGGGGGUAAGGUUGGAGGACCCUUGUGAAUCAGCCAUUUUUUUCCCCCUGUGAAUUGGUUCUUCCUAAAAAUAUGUUCUAAGAAGCAAGAAUCCCACCAGAUGCUUUGAAAAAAAAAAUUCUGUGAUGUAAAUUCUGUGAGAAAUGCAUUGUAAUGGAACCACAUCUGUGUUUUCUAGAGAAGUUGUGUUAUAAGAGUCUCUUUGGACAGGUGACCUUCAGCAACUAAUCUCUACAAACUCCAUGGGGACUUUAACAAUUUAGAUCUGAG